Molecule: ribosomal RNA, 253 nt
Filed under: uncultured prokaryote
Description: partial 16S ribosomal RNA
Rfam family: Bacterial small subunit ribosomal RNA
Source: RNAcentral
ACGAAGGGUGCAAGCGUUAAUCGGAAUUACUGGGCGUAAAGGGUGCGUAGGCGGUUCGUUAAGUCUGUCGUGAAAUCCCCGGGCUCAACCUGGGAAUGGCGAUGGAUACUGGCGAGCUAGAGUGUGUCAGAGGAUGGUGGAAUUCCCGGUGUAGCGGUGAAAUGCGUAGAGAUCGGGAGGAACACCAGUGGCGAAGGCGGCUACCUGGACCAGCACUGACACUGAGGCACGAAAGCGUGGGGAGCAAACAGGA